Molecule: ribosomal RNA, 242 nt
Filed under: Enterococcus faecium
Lineage: Bacteria; Bacillati; Bacillota; Bacilli; Lactobacillales; Enterococcaceae
Also listed under: 3 other names
Description: partial 16S ribosomal RNA
Rfam family: Bacterial small subunit ribosomal RNA
Source: RNAcentral
UAUGACCUGGGCUACACACGUGCUACAAUGGGAAGUACAACGAGUUGCGAAGUCGCGAGGCUAAGCUAAUCUCUUAAAGCUUCUCUCAGUUCGGAUUGCAGGCUGCAACUCGCCUGCAUGAAGCCGGAAUCGCUAGUAAUCGCGGAUCAGCACGCCGCGGUGAAUACGUUCCCGGGCCUUGUACACACCGCCCGUCACACCACGAGAGUUUGUAACACCCGAAGUCGGUGAGGUAACCUUUU